AUUGAACGCUGGCGGCAGGCCUAACACAUGCAAGUCGAGCGGUAGAGAGAAGCUUGCUUCUCUUGAGAGCGGCGGACGGGUGAGUAAUGCCUAGGAAUCUGCCUAGUGGUGGGGGAUAACGUUCGGAAACGGACGCUAAUACCGCAUACGUCCUACGGGAGAAAGCGGGGGACCUUCGGGCCUCGCGCCAUUAGAUGAGCCUAGGUCGGAUUAGCUAGUUGGUGAGGUAAAGGCUCACCAAGGCGACGAUCCGUAACUGGUCUGAGAGGAUGAUCAGUCACACUGGAACUGAGACACGGUCCAGACUCCUACGGGAGGCAGCAGUGGGGAAUAUUGGACAAUGGGCGAAAGCCUGAUCCAGCCAUGCCGCGUGUGUGAAGAAGGUCUUCGGAUUGUAAAGCACUUUAAGUUGGGAGGAAGGGUAGUAACUUAAUACGUUGCUACUUUGACGUACCGACA
Molecule: ribosomal RNA, 459 nt
Filed under: Pseudomonas sp. ITRI73
Lineage: Bacteria; Pseudomonadati; Pseudomonadota; Gammaproteobacteria; Pseudomonadales; Pseudomonadaceae
Description: bacterial SSU rRNA
Rfam family: Bacterial small subunit ribosomal RNA
Source: RNAcentral